UGCUAUUGAGCAUCCGACGGACAGUGAGUUCAUUGCAUCAGGGAGGCGGGGUUGAGCUCAGAGCUUUAACAAUGGAGAAGAAGGGCGGUGGCAAGGGGAGAAAGGAGGAGGUCGUUACCAGAGUACACCAUCAACGUCCACAAACGCUUGCAUGGAUGCACAUUUAAGAAGAAGGCACCAAAUGCGAUAAAGGAAAUCAGGAAGUUUGCUCAAAAGUCCAUGGGAACCACUGAUGUCAGAGUGGAUGUAAAGCUCAACAAGCACAUAUGGAGCCGUGGUAUUCGGAGUGUGCCAAGAAGGAUACGUGUCCGUAUUGCAAGGAAGAGAAAUGAUGAUGAAGAUGCCAAGGAAGAGUUUUACUCUCUAGUCACCGUUACAGAGGUCCCUCCAGAGGGAUUUAGUGGUUUGGGCACCAAGGUGAUCGAUGAAGAAGAAGGUUGAACUUAGUUUAAAGUUUAGACCCUAGUUUUUGUUCUAGUUAGGUAAUCCCAAUUUCGGAUGUGUGGCCUGGUUUUGUCUGCCCUUGGAACUUCCAAAUCAGAGUUUUUGAAUUGUUUAAUUAGUGUUUGUCUGUUCAGUUUUUUAAUGAAGACCCUUACAAAUUAAAACCAAGAGAAUUUCUCCUUUUA
Malus domestica (apple) is the source of this 629-nucleotide non-coding RNA. NCBI's taxonomy places the organism in Eukaryota, Viridiplantae, Streptophyta, Magnoliopsida, Rosales, Rosaceae. The record is from RefSeq and is a predicted model, not a curated record.